This 72-nucleotide transfer RNA is filed under the name Camelus ferus (Wild Bactrian camel). It matches the Rfam family "tRNA". Rfam says of the family: Transfer RNA (tRNA) molecules are approximately 80 nucleotides in length. Their secondary structure includes four short double-helical elements and three loops (D, anti-codon, and T loops). Further hydrogen bonds mediate the characteristic L-shaped molecular structure. tRNAs have two regions of fundamental functional importance: the anti-codon, which is responsible for specific mRNA codon recognition, and the 3' end, to which the tRNAs corresponding amino acid is attached (by aminoacyl-tRNA synthetases). tRNAs cope with the degeneracy of the genetic code in two manners: having more than one tRNA (with a specific anti-codon) for a particular amino acid; and 'wobble' base-pairing, i.e. permitting non-standard base-pairing at the 3rd anti-codon position. The record is from Rfam by way of RNAcentral. Lineage: Eukaryota; Metazoa; Chordata; Mammalia; Artiodactyla; Camelidae.
GAGGAUAUAGCUCAGUGGUAGAACGUGUGCUUAUCACGCACGAGGUCUUGGGUUCAAUCCUUGGUAUCUCCA